CCUGCGCCCCAGCCUAGACCUCUAGGACGGAGCUGAGUCGGCCCCAUCUCUUGCGUUUUCUGCCUCCACCUGUUCACAGCUACAGAAGCCUAUAUUCUCAGAAUGCUGGAGCCAGGAGAGUUUCAAGAGAGCAUCAGAGGCAGAAGGGCCUCCGAGCUCAAGCAGAUUCAUGGCUUUGUUUCCCACAUGGGGAAACUGAGGCCAAGAGGAAGGACACAGCACACCUGGGGCCUUCUCCACCUCCCCUCCACGAUAGAUGAGAGUGGUGCUGGAGCCGCCGAGAACCGAGGAAAGCUGCUUCCCAUUCCGCCCUCUACUCUGAGGGAGGGGGGCAGCCCCUGAUUCCAUUCACUCAUCCAAUCUUCUGGCCUCUGGGGACUGCUGCCAGUCUGGUGGGAGAGAGCCAGGAUGGGGGCGGGGGGAACAUGUGACCCAAGCCUCCCUCCAUGCCCUUUAUCUUCCUUUUUGUUGAAAAGUAAAUUAGCCCCAUGUUACAGAUAGGGAAAUUAAGGCCCAAAGUCAACAUAGCUAAUAAGUUGUAGAGACAGGAUUUGAACCCAGACUGUGGCUCCUGGGAUGCUGCCGGCUGCUUCCUGAGGGGCCCUUCCUUGCUAGCACAUGCCCUUCCCUUGACUCUCCUCAACCCGCCUCCGGCUCUUCCCUGGGUUCUGUCAGCAGCUCUGCCCCCUCCUUCUCCCCUUGAAUGUUGGGUCUCCUGGGGACUCUGUCCUCCUCUCCAUGCACAGUUUCCAUGUGUGUGCACGUACUCCUGUGACUUUGGGGGUCAACUCUGUGAUGACAGCCUCCCCCUCUGCGAUGACAGCCUCCCCCUCUGCAGUUUCAUCCCUGAGCUUCCUGUGGACGCCUCGCCUUCUCAUCCCCUGGGCACCUCAAACUCAGCAUCUGUCUCCAAACGUAUCCACCUCCCCCCAACAGUGACUCCUCCACCGGCAGUGCCCAAGUCAGGAACCCCUCUCUCGAGCAUCCUUUGCUCCUUGCCUAAGAAACAACCUAGAGUGUCCCCAGGUGUGCUUUUAAUACUCCAGAUGCUUUUCCUUCCACCCCACAGUCCGUCCCCUCUCCCGCCCACCCCAUCAUCUAGCGAACUCCUAUUUAUCCUUCAGAUCCCAGUUUGAGCACCACCUCUUCUUGGAACCGCUCCCUGCGCCCCCCCACCCCUGGCUUGACUGGGGAGCCCUUCGGAGCCCCCUGAUCUCUACUCACCCUCCCUUGUGUAUUCUGAGCUCUUCUGUAUGGUGGGGUUGAGCACAGUGCGUGGUCGGUAAUUAGUGAAUGUUUGCUGAGCCAGGGAAUGAAGGUGACAUUGAGGCUGGUUGUUAGGAUGAGGAGGGUUUUGCCGACUAGAGAGAAGUGGAAAAAGGACCCCUGGGUCCUCUGGGUGCAGGCAGUGAGCUGGAAGCCCUUGUGAUUUUUGUCCUGAGCGCGCUCCACGUGGAGGCCACAGCUAGAGCAAAGGCUUUGAGGCAGGACUCUGUUCUUCUACCCUCUUUGCCCCAGGAUCUGCAGAGUCUGGUGUGUCCAGAGGGUCAGGCUACAGAGGUGGGCUUUACCCUGUGGACGACGGGGAGCCAUAGGCAGCGUCAGGACAGGGAGGCGCCGCUGGCUGGGAGCCUGGGCUUGAUUGAUCUCGUCUCAGAACUAGUGCUCUGCAAACUCUAGACCGCUUAGCUCUCCAGGUACCACUGUGUGGCAGCACUAUUCAUGUUCCCAUUUUGUAGAUUGGAAACUGAGGCUCAGAAAGGGGACAUAAUGUGCACCAAAUGACGCAACUUGUCCGUGGUGGAGUCAGGAUUCAAACCCAUCUCUGUGUGACUCCCAAGCCGAAGCUCCAAAAUGGUUCUCACACGCGUCAGCAGACCCGGGCUUUUUUCAGUGGCCUAAGGCAAAACUGAGAGAAAUAAGGACAACGUGGUGACUUUUUCACAAAGCUAAAUUUAUUUCAUUUAAAGGACUGUCUUUUAGUCUGAGAUUAUGUCCUUUCUUUUAUGAAAUGAUGGGCCUGGGAAUUUUUAAAAAAUGUCCUUACUUGGCAAAAUAAAAAGCUGACAACCUCAUGCAGUCCCUAAAUUGUUUUUGAAAAUUUUACCGGUGCGUGAAAUCCCUGAGUCUGGGCGCCAUCCUGCCUUCUCCCUCCUGAGCUCUGGGGCCAGAGGUGGGAGGAGUCUGGGUGGGGAUGAAAGGAUUAGAGGGAUGGGGCAGCCGACAGUCUCCCCGGUCUAUUCCUCCUG
Long non-coding RNA from Balaenoptera musculus (blue whale), 2249 nucleotides. RefSeq lists it as uncharacterized. The transcript is spliced from 3 exons. Lineage: Eukaryota; Metazoa; Chordata; Mammalia; Artiodactyla; Balaenopteridae. The record is from RefSeq and is a predicted model, not a curated record.